UAGUCCUAGCAGUAAACGGUGCGCGUUUGGUGUAGGGGGAUUCGACCCCCUCUGUGCCGGAGCUAACGCGUUAAACGCGCCGCCUGGGGAGUACGAUCGCAAGAUUAAAACUCAAAGAAAUUGACGGGGACCCGCACAAGCGGUGGAGUAUGUGGCUUAAUUCGAUGCAACGCGAAGAACCUUACCUGGGUUUGACAUGCUUGUCGUAGUCCUACGAAAGUAGGACGUCGGUUCGGCCGGACUUGCACAGGUGCUGCAUGGCUGUCGUCAGCUCGUGUCGUGAGAUGUUGGGUUAAGUCCCGCAACGAGCGCAACCCCCGUGAUUAGUUGCCAGCACGUAAUGGUGGGGACUCUAAUCAGACUGCCCAGAUCAACUGGGAGGAAGGUGGGGACGACGUCAAGUCAGUAUGGCCCUUAUACCCAGGGCUGCACACGUACUACAAUGCCCAGUACAAUGUGAACCGAUACCGCGAGGUGGAGGAAAUCCUUAAAACUGGGCUCAGUUCGGAUUGGAGGCUGC
This 520-nucleotide ribosomal RNA is filed under the name uncultured bacterium. RNAcentral describes it as "bacterial SSU rRNA". It matches the Rfam family "Bacterial small subunit ribosomal RNA", at positions 791 to 1308 of the family's 1533-position model. The record is from RNAcentral.